AUUGAACGCUAGCGGGAUGCUUUACACAUGCAAGUCGAACGGCAGCGCGGACUUCGGUCUGGCUGCGAGUGGCGAACGGGGGAGUAAUGUAUCUGAACGUCCCCAGUAGCGGGGGAUAACUACGCGAAAGCGUAGCUAAUACCGCAUACGCCCUACGGGGGAAAGCAGGGGGGCGUAGGACCUUGCACGAGGUUAGCGGCCGAUAUCGGAUUAGCUAGUUGGUGGGUUAAGUGCUCACCAAGGAGACGAUCGGUAGGUGGUUGGAGAGGCAGAGAAGCCACCCUGGGACUGAGCCACGGCCAAGACUCCUGCGGUAGGCAGCAGUGGGGAAUUUUGGACAAUGGGGGCAAACAUGAUACAGCCAUCCCGAGUGUGAGAUGACGGCCUUCGGGUUGUAAAGCACUUUUGGCAGGAAAGAAACGUCUCGGGCUAAGACCACGUGGAACUGACGGUACCUGCAGAAUAAGCACCGGCUAACUACGUG
Molecule: ribosomal RNA, 484 nt
Filed under: uncultured bacterium
Lineage: Bacteria
Description: partial 16S ribosomal RNA
Rfam family: Bacterial small subunit ribosomal RNA
Source: RNAcentral